RNAcentral lists this ribosomal RNA (482 nucleotides) under uncultured bacterium. Its description in RNAcentral is "partial 16S ribosomal RNA". It matches the Rfam family "Bacterial small subunit ribosomal RNA", at positions 29 to 523 of the family's 1533-position model. The record is from RNAcentral.
AAUGAACGUUGGCGGCGUGGAUUAGGCAUGCAAGUCGUGCGCGAAUCGUAGCAAUACGAGGAGAGCGGCGAAAGGGAGAGGAUAGCAUAGAUACCUACCCUCGGACCUGGGAUAGCUAUGGGAAACUAUAGGUAAUACCAGAUAACGUCUCCGGACCAAAGGUGUGAUUCCGUCCGGGGAGGGGUCUAUGUCCUAUUAGCUGGUUGGUGAGGUAACGGCUCACCAAGGCAAAGAUGGGUACGAGGCGUGAGAGCGUGUCCUCGCUCACUGGGACUGAGACACUGCCCAGACACGUACGGGUGGCUGCAGUCGAGAAUCUUCGGCAAUGGGCGCAAGCCUGACCGAGCGACGCCGCGUGUGGGAUGAAGGCCUUCGGGUUGUAAACCACUGUCAGUGCGGAGGAAAUAUAGGGGGGUACUCCCCUCUAUUUGACCUAUGCGCAGAGGAAGGACGGGCUAAGUUCGUGCCAGCCGCCGCAGUAA